GAUGAACGCUGGCGGCGUGCUUAACACAUGCAAGUCGAACGGAAAGGCUCCUGCUUGCAGGGGUACUCGAGUGGCGAACGGGUGAGUAACACGUGGGUGAUCUGCCCUGCACUUCGGGAUAAGCCUGGGAAACUGGGUCUAAUACCGGAUAGGACCACAUUUUGGAUGGUGUGGUGGAAAGUUUUUCGGUGUGGGAUGAGCUCGCGGCCUAUCAGCUUGUUGGUGGGGUAAUGGCCUACCAAGGCGUCGACGGGUAGCCGGCCUGAGAGGGUGUACGGCCACAUUGGGACUGAGAUACGGCCCAGACCCCUACGGGAGGCAGCAGUGGGGAAUAUUGCACAAUGGGCGCAAGCCUGAUGCAGCGACGCCGCGUGGGGGAUGACGGCCUUCGGGUUGUAAACUCCUUUCGCUAGGGACGAAGCGCAAGUGACGGUACCUGGAGAAGAAGCACCGGCUAACUACGUG
This 465-nucleotide ribosomal RNA is filed under the name uncultured bacterium. RNAcentral's name for it is "partial 16S ribosomal RNA". It matches the Rfam family "Bacterial small subunit ribosomal RNA", at positions 28 to 507 of the family's 1533-position model. The record is from RNAcentral.